GCAUGACUUCUGUUUGAAAGAUCCGUCGGAUACGGAUGGGCUCGCGAGACAUUAGCUAGUUGGAGUGGUAACGGCACACCAAGGCUACGAUGUCUAGGGGUUCAGAGAGGAAGGUCCCCCACAUUGGAACUGAGACACGGUCCAAACUCCUACGGGAGGCAGCAGUGAGGAAUAUUGGUCAAUGGACGCAAGUCUGAACCAGCCAUGCCGCGUGAAGGAAUAAGGCCCUAUGGGUCGUAAACUUCUUUUGUGGUGGAGCAAUAAGUCGUACGUGUACGGCGAUGAGAGUACAUCACGAAUAAGCAUCGGCUAACUCCGUGCCAGCAGCCGCGGUAAUACGGAGGAUGCAAGCGUUAUCCGGAUUUAUUGGGUUUAAAGGGUGCGUAGGCUGUGAUCCAAGUCAGGGGUGAAAGCCCGGAACUCAACUCCGGAACUGCCUUUGAUACUGGAUUGCUGGAAUACCGAUGCCGUGGGAAGAAUGAAUAGUGUAACGGUGAAAUGCAUAAAUAUUACUCAGAACACCGAUUGCGAAAGGCUCCCACGAAUCCGUCAUUGACGCUGAAGCACGAAAGCGUGGGGAUCAAACAGGAUUAGGAUACGCUGGUAGUCCCCGCCGUAAACGAUGAGUACUAGGUGUAGGGGGUAUCGACUCCCUAUGUGCCGCAGUUAACACAAUAAGUAUUUCGCCUGGGGAGUACGGCCGCAAGGUUGAAACUCAAAGGAAUUGACGGGGGCCCGCACAAGCAGUGGAUUAUGUGGUUUAAUUCGAAGCAACGCGAAGAACCUUACCAGGGCUCGACAUCCUCUGACCGCUCUAGAGAUAGAGUUUCCCUUCUGGGCAGAGAGACAGGCGGUGCAUGGUUGUCGUCAGCUCGUGUCGUGAGAUGUUUGGUUAAGUCCAAUAACGAGCGCAACCCCUAUGGUCAGUUGCCAUCAUUUAGUUGGGCACUCUGGCAAGACUGCCGCGGACAACGCGGAGGAAGGAGGGGACGACGUCAAAUCAUCAUGCCCCUUAUGUCCUGGGCUACACACGUGUUACAAUGGUAGCUACAGAGGGAAGCCACCUGGUGACAGGGAGCAGAUCUCGAAAAGCUAUCUCAGUUCGGAUUGGAGUCUGCAACUCGACUCCAUGAAGCUGGAUUCGCUAGUAAUCGCGCAUCAGCCAUGGCGCGGUGAAUACGUUCCCGGGCCUUGUACACACCGCCCGUCAAG
RNAcentral lists this ribosomal RNA (1212 nucleotides) under uncultured bacterium. Its description in RNAcentral is "bacterial SSU rRNA". It matches the Rfam family "Bacterial small subunit ribosomal RNA", at positions 188 to 1401 of the family's 1533-position model. The record is from RNAcentral.